UACGUAGGGUGCAAGCGUUGUCCGGAAUUACUGGGCGUAAAGGGCUCGUAGGCGGCCAACUAAGUCGGAUGUGAAAUCCCCAGGCUUAACCUGGGAACUGCAUCCGAUACUGGAUGGCUUGAAUCCGGGAGAGGGAUGCGGAAUUCCAGGUGUAGCGGUGAAAUGCGUAGAUAUCUGGAGGAACACCGGUGGCGAAGGCGGCAUCCUGGACCGACACUGACGCUGAGGAGCGAAAGCCAGGGGAGCAAACGGG
RNAcentral lists this ribosomal RNA (253 nucleotides) under uncultured bacterium. RNAcentral describes it as "partial 16S ribosomal RNA". It matches the Rfam family "Bacterial small subunit ribosomal RNA", at positions 524 to 776 of the family's 1533-position model. The record is from RNAcentral.